AAGAUGGUGGGGUGUAACAGUUGAUGGUGGUUGACGGCGGUUACUGGUGGAAGUUAUAAUGACGGUAAUGUCCUCUGUCUCUUGUUUUCUAUUUUUAUUUUAGUUUUGAAAUACAUGAUUUUGAGGAUAGAUUUAGAUUGUUGUUUCUUCUCUGUUCAACUUCAUUUUUAUUUUAGAAUUUCUCCUUUUCUAAAAAAAUUCUAUUUUUCUUUACUUCUCUUUUUGAAAAAAUAAAAAUAAAAAAACUCCUCCCUUUCUGAAAAAACAAGACUCUAUUUAUAGAGUUUUCUUUAAGUGUUCAGUUGUUUUCUUUGCAUGUGCUCAUGUUUGAGUUUGAGCUUUCUAGUUCCUUGUUUGAUGCUUCUUUUAUUUUGCUCAUCAUCCGCAUUUUUUUCCUGCACAUCUGAUGCAUUCAUAGUUUUAGCUUAUGUUUAUUUUUAUCUGUUCACUUGCUGAGCUUUUUUUAUUUUUUAUUUGCAGCUUUAAUUUGUCUUUUAGUUUUUUUUUAAACUCAAAAGUUUGUCUCCUUACCCUGUAUAAUGUGUAUCAUGGCUAAAGGCAAAGAUAGUUGACUUUCAUUACUUACAUAUCAUCUCUCUGACUUAUAAGACUAUGUUUUUUUAGUUACAAAAUAGGUACAAUGAUAGUGCUUCAAAGCAGUGCAGCAACAGAAAGAUCAAAUAAGGCAGACAUCUAAAGCAAAAGCAAGGUAGUGCAGCAAAAAGAAAACAAACAAGGCAUGUAGCAGCUGGCAAGGCAACAUAAAAUGAUUUUCUUUUAGCUAUAUUUUUUAUUUCUUUUAUAUAUAUAUAUUUUCCUUUUUUGUAUCACAAAAUUUGAUAUAUUAUAAUAAAAAUGGAUAUUAUUACUUUUUGAAUUAUUUCUAA
RNAcentral lists this long non-coding RNA (887 nucleotides) under Cicer arietinum (chickpea). RNAcentral describes it as "long non-coding RNA (CARI_LNC001433)". Lineage: Eukaryota; Viridiplantae; Streptophyta; Magnoliopsida; Fabales; Fabaceae. The record is from RNAcentral.